Molecule: ribosomal RNA, 862 nt
Filed under: uncultured bacterium
Lineage: Bacteria
Description: bacterial SSU rRNA
Rfam family: Bacterial small subunit ribosomal RNA
Source: RNAcentral
GACGAACGCUGGCGGCGUGCCUAACACAUGCAAGUCGAACGAGGUCCAACCGGUGGCAACACCGGGGAAUACCUAGUGGCGAACGGGUGAGUAACACGUGAGGAACCUGCCCCGAAGACCGGGAUAACCCUCCGAAAGGAGAGCUAAUACCGGAUACCCCCACCGGACCGCAUGAUCUGGUGAGGAAAUGGAUUCCGCUUCGGGAGGGCCUCGCGGCCUAUCAGCUUGUUGGUGGGGUAAUGGCCCACCAAGGCUUCGACGGGUAGCUGGUCUGAGAGGACGAUCAGCCACACUGGGACUGAGACACGGCCCAGACUCCUACGGGAGGCAGCAGUGGGGAAUCUUGCGCAAUGGGCGAAAGCCUGACGCAGCAACGCCGCGUGGGGGAUGAAGGCUCUCGGGUUGUAAACCCCUUUCAGCAGGGACGAAACUGACGGUACCUGCAGAAGAAGCCCCGGCCAACUACGUGCCAGCAGCCGCGGUAACACGUAGGGGGCAAGCGUUGUCCGGAUUUAUUGGGCGUAAAGAGCUCGUAGGCGGCUCAGUAAGUCGGGUGUGAAACCUCCAGGCUCAACCUGGAGACGCCACCCGAUACUGCUGUGGCUUGAGUCCGGUAGGGGAGCGUGGAAUUCCUGGUGUAGCGGUGAAAUGCGCAGAUAUCAGGAGGAACACCAGCGGCGAAGGCGGCGCUCUGGGCCGGAACUGACGCUGAGGAGCGAAAGCGUGGGUAGCAAACAGGAUUAGAUACCCUGGUAGUCCACGCCGUAAACGUUGGGCACUAGGUGUGGGUUCCAACCAACGGAAUCCGUGCCGUAGCUAACGCAUUAAGUGCCCCGCCUGGGGGAGUACGGCCGCAAGGCUA